GAUGAACGCUAGCUACAGGCUUAACACAUGCAAGUCGGGGGGCAGCAUGACCUAGCAAUAGGUUGAUGGCGACCGGCGCACGGGUGAGUAACACGUAUCCAACCUACCGGUUAUUCCGGGAUAGCCUUUCGAAAGAAAGAUUAAUACCGGAUAGUAUAACGAGAAGGCAUCUUCUUGUUAUUAAAGAAUUUCGAUAACCGAUGGGGAUGCGUUCCAUUAGUUUGUUGGCGGGGUAACGGCCCACCAAGACAUCGAUGGAUAGGGGUUCUGAGAGGAAGGUCCCCCACAUUGGAACUGAGACACGGUCCAAACUCCUACGGGAGGCAGCAGUGAGGAAUAUUGGUCAAUGGACGAGAGUCUGAACCAGCCAAGUAGCGUGAAGGAUGACUGCCCUAUGGGUUGUAAACUUCUUUUAUAUGGGAAUAAAGUGAGCCACGUGUGGCUUUUUGUAUGUACCAUACGAAUAAGGAUCGGCUAACUCCGUGCCAGCAGCCGCGGUAAUACGGAGGAUCCGAGCGUUAUCCGGAUUUAUUGGGUUUAAAGGGAGCGUAGGCGGACUAUUAAGUCAGCUGUGAAAGUUUGCGGCUCAACCGUAAAAUUGCAGUUGAUACUGGUCGUCUUGAGUGCAGUAGAGGUAGGCGGAAUUCGUGGUGUAGCGGUGAAAUGCUUAGCUAUCACGAAGACUCCGAUUGCGAAGGCAGCUUACUGGAC
Molecule: ribosomal RNA, 711 nt
Filed under: uncultured Bacteroidales bacterium
Lineage: Bacteria; Pseudomonadati; Bacteroidota; Bacteroidia; Bacteroidales
Description: bacterial SSU rRNA
Rfam family: Bacterial small subunit ribosomal RNA
Source: RNAcentral